Molecule: long non-coding RNA, 327 nt
Organism: Mauremys reevesii (Reeves's turtle)
Lineage: Eukaryota; Metazoa; Chordata; Testudines; Geoemydidae
Exons: 2
Source: RefSeq, a predicted model, not a curated record
AGAUGCUACAGACACUGGAGUGUCUUUAAAUCAGACAGCAGUAGCAGCAGCAGCAGGCUGAUAGGGAAGAAGGAGAAAGCUGCUGUUUAAGCAUAGACAAUGUGGUAAUCGCUAAUCAUCAAUAAUGGGAAGGUUAAAUAAAAGGGUGGUUUCCAGUGAUGAAGACAAUUAAGAGCACAGAAUGUAAUGAAACUUGAUAGCAUCUCCACAAUCUUCCUCCUUAUGAACUUGCACAGCCACAUGUGUCAGCAUUCACUGAUUAAAGAAGCAAUUAAUCUGAACAAGGAGAACGUGAAACUGUUACUUAAAUACACCAACAGAUUGUAA